Molecule: ribosomal RNA, 518 nt
Filed under: uncultured bacterium
Lineage: Bacteria
Description: partial 16S ribosomal RNA
Rfam family: Bacterial small subunit ribosomal RNA
Source: RNAcentral
GACGAACGCUGGCGGCGUGCCUAAUACAUGAGAGUCGAGCAAACUUGCAUAGAUGAAUUUAGUGAUAGCAAAAAAUGAAAAAAGAUAAACAAAAAAGAAGGAAGGGUAAGCAACAAAAAGACAAAAAACCCAAGACACUGGGAUAACACCUGGAAACAGAUGCUAAUACCGGAUAACAACACUAGACGCAUGUCUAGAGUUUAAAAGAUGGUUCUGCUAUCACUCUUGGAUGGACCUGCGGUGCAUUAGCUAGUUGGUAAGGCAACGGCUUACCAAGGCAAUGUUUUUUUUUCUUUUGGGUUGGUGGAUGUGCCACAUUGGGACUGAGACACGGCCCAAACUCCUACGGGAGGCAGCAGUAGGGAAUCUUCCACAAUGGACGCAAGUCUGAUGGAGCAACGCCGCGUGAGUGAAGAAGGGUUUCGGGUCGUAAAGCUCUGUUGGUAGUGUAGAAAGAUAGAGGUAGUAACUGGCCUUUAUUUGACGGUAAUUACUUAGAAAGUCACGGCUAACUACGU